AUUUGUUGUUGUUAUUUUUCUGGAUUCUGUCCAUGUCUGCUUUAAAGGUCUUCCCAGAGAGGGAGAAGUAAAUGCUAAUUCACCAUCUUGGCAGGAAUGGGAAACCAGGUCAAUAAUUGUUUUCUUUCGUGUUUUAUUUAUAUAUUUUUGGCAGCAAAAUUGUGUUUAUUAAAAAAAAAACCUGGACUAUGAACACACUUCAAUGCUUUGAAGAACUCCAAGCCAAAUAAAAAGACCAAUCAAUAUUAAAAGCAGUAUAACUGGUUACUUUCUUAAAAAUACAUAAAAAGAAUCAAAUGCAACAGUGUAGGAAGACAAUCACACCCAUGUCAGAAGUCACAACUUCUUCCAAAUAAAGAAUAUGACCCAUCUGCCAUAUUGAAUCAAUAUUUAUUUCAGGACAUGCCAUGUCAAAAUAAAACAAAGAGUCAACCCUUGCCUUUAACAAUUAUAUUGUAUUAUAAAAGCACUU
This 472-nucleotide long non-coding RNA is filed under the name Homo sapiens (human). Its description in RNAcentral is "HSALNT0178135". Lineage: Eukaryota; Metazoa; Chordata; Mammalia; Primates; Hominidae. The record is from RNAcentral.